UGAGCAAUCUGCCCUUCUCAUCGGAAUAAGCGUUGGAAACGACGUCUAAUGCCGAAUACGACCUCCUUUCGCAUGAUCGGAGGUGGAAAGCUCCGGCGGAGAAGGAUGAGCUCGCGGCCUAUCAGCUAGUUGGUGUGGGUAACGGCCCACCAAGGCUUCGACGGGUAGCCGGCCUGAGAGGGCGACCGGCCACACUGGGACUGAGAUACGGCCCAGACUCCUACGGGAGGNAG
This 233-nucleotide ribosomal RNA is filed under the name uncultured bacterium. Its description in RNAcentral is "partial 16S ribosomal RNA". It matches the Rfam family "Bacterial small subunit ribosomal RNA", at positions 118 to 351 of the family's 1533-position model. The record is from RNAcentral.